This 298-nucleotide unclassified non-coding RNA is filed under the name fungal sp. Its description in RNAcentral is "partial internal transcribed spacer region". The stretch from base 1 to 46 matches the Rfam family "Eukaryotic small subunit ribosomal RNA", at positions 1786 to 1831 of the family's 1831-position model. RNAcentral also lists the same sequence under 1 other name. Lineage: Eukaryota; Fungi. The record is from RNAcentral.
AAGUCGUAACAAGGUUUCCGUAGGUGAACCUGCGGAAGGAUCAUUAUCGAGUUUGAAGCGGGUUGAUGCUGGCCUCUCGAGGCACGUGCUCGCCCCUCUCAUCCACUCAACCCCUGUGCACCUUUGGAGCGCGGCUUCCCCUUCUCGCGAAGGGAGCGUCGUUCCCUCUUCGGAGGUCGAGCGAUGGAGUCGCCGCUUCACUUUUUUAUACCAACCCCGAUACAAAGUACAGUAGAAUGUCACCGCCUUUGAAGGCAAAAAAUAAAUACAACUUUCAACAACGGAUCUCUUGGCUCUC